AAAUAUUGUUCAAUGUCAAUAUAAUAAUAAUUAUUUAUUAUACCAUAAUUAUAUUAAUACCUAAUCGUCAUCAGUGCGCGCCGGCUGACCGUCGCGACGGAUUGUUAUCGCAUUAUCGCAAUGACAAAAAUAGAAAUUUCCAACAGUCAGACUUUGAUAAACAUUAUUAAUGUUCCGAUUGGCCCAAACUCCGAUUGCCGUGAUGACCGUUUCGUUUUUCGUGUAGCGUCACUAACGUUGUUUACUGUACAGUUACAAAUACAGUACACAGAAUUUACACAAAGUAACGUACAGACAACUGAAGAUUUCUAUAGAAUAAAUGCUUACUAUGUAAUUCUUGACACACUAGUUACAAAGUUAAAAGAAAGAUUUUCGAAUGAUAGUUUACAAAUGGGCGUAUCUGUUGAUAAUUUUUUUCAACUAAAAUUUGAAGAAAGUCAAUUUUUUAUUGAUCAUUAUCAAGGGUUAUUGGAUUUAUCAAAAAUUAAUAUUCAGUCAGAGAUGACCGUGGCAAAAAACAGCAUCUUGCAAUCAGGUGGCCAUAACAAUACCAAUCAGUUCGGCUACAUGUGAACGAAGCUUUUCUGCAAUGCGCAAAGUUAAGACAUGGUUAAGUUACGCACGAGAACAACAACUUUUCAACUUUGUCAGUCGUGAGUCUUGACCGUUUCUCCGUCAACACCAUGUCAGUCUUAGAGAAAAUGCGCUCGCAUGGAACUGAUGUGGCUACAACGCAUAACCUACGACAAACUAAUUGGUUCAGCAAUGUAUCGAUCCAAUUCUAAUAUACCAGCUACUGUCACAUUCGAACCACCACUUACUGCAAUAACUCUGGUAUCAAAAUCCUUCC
RNA transcript from Sipha flava (yellow sugarcane aphid), 850 nucleotides. RefSeq lists it as uncharacterized. Lineage: Eukaryota; Metazoa; Arthropoda; Insecta; Hemiptera; Aphididae. The transcript is spliced from 5 exons. The record is from RefSeq and is a predicted model, not a curated record.